UCGGGAAUAUUGCGCAAUGGAGGAAACUCUGACGCAGUGACGCCGCGUGCAGGUAAGAAGGUUUUCGGAUUGUAAACUGCUUUAGACAGGGAAGAAAAAAUGACAGUACCUGUAGAAUAAGCUCCGGCUAACUACGUGCCAGCAGCCGCGGUAAUACGUAGGGAGCAAGCGUUAUCCGGAUUUAUUGGGUGUAAAGGGUGCGUAGACGGGAAGACAAGUUAGUUGUGAAAUCCCUCGGCUUAACUGAGGAACUGCAACUAAACUAUCAUUCUUGAGUGCUGGAGAGGAAAGUGGAAUUCCUAGUGUAGCGGUGAAAUGCGUAGAUAUUAGGAGGAACACCAGUGGCGAAGGCGACUUUCUGGACAGUAACUGACGUUGAGGCACGAAAGUGUGGGGAGCAAACAGGAUUAGAUACCC
Molecule: ribosomal RNA, 417 nt
Filed under: uncultured bacterium
Lineage: Bacteria
Description: bacterial SSU rRNA
Rfam family: Bacterial small subunit ribosomal RNA
Source: RNAcentral